This 442-nucleotide ribosomal RNA is filed under the name uncultured bacterium. Its description in RNAcentral is "partial 16S ribosomal RNA". It matches the Rfam family "Bacterial small subunit ribosomal RNA", at positions 338 to 795 of the family's 1533-position model. The record is from RNAcentral.
CCUACGGGAGGCAGCAGUGGGGGAUAUUGCACAAUGGGGGAAACCCUGAUGCAGCGACGCCGCGUGGGCGAAGAAGUAUUUCGGGAUGUAAAGCCCUAUCAGCAGGGAAGAAGAAAUGACGGUACCUGAGUAAGAAGCACCGGCGAAAUACGUGCCAGCAGCCGCGGUCAUACGUAUGGUGCAAGCGUUAUCCGGAUGGACUGGGUGUACAGGGAGCGUAGGCGGCCCGGCAAGCCUGAGGUGAAAGCCCGCGGCCCAACCGCGGGACUGCAGUGGGAACUACCGGGCUGGAGUGCCGGAGGGGGAAGCGGAAUUCGGGGGGGAGCAGGGAAAUGGGUAGAGAUUAGGAGGAACACGAGUGGCGAAGGCGGCUGACUGGACGGUAACUGAGGCUGAGGCACGAAGGCGAGGGGAGCGAAAGGGAUUAGAUACCCCUGUAGUC